RNAcentral lists this long non-coding RNA (620 nucleotides) under Physcomitrium patens. Its description in RNAcentral is "long non-coding RNA (PPAT_LNC008462)". The record is from RNAcentral. Lineage: Eukaryota; Viridiplantae; Streptophyta; Bryopsida; Funariales; Funariaceae.
GUUGAGAAAAGAACUCUUUAAGUAGUUGCUAAUGGUCAAUAGAGUACAAGUGUUGUUAAGGACAUCCCAUAAGGUAGGGUGCUGGUCUAUAGUACAUUAGAGUACAAGGGAAGGGCUGGUCCUAGGAGAUAUCCCAUAUGGAUUGUAGCACUUGCUACCUUGGUACUAGUAUAUAAGGAAAGGGUUGGCAUGGGAAGAAUUAUCUCAUACCAUGCUCUAUUUGUUAUAGUGUAACCUUGCUGGUCCUAACUUACUUGUGUGGAGUAUGCUUUCUAUGUUUCAAUAGGUUAUGGGCCCACAUUCUCUUACCAAGUAAGUUGUUCUUGCAUUUUAUUUUCUUUGUUGCUUGUUUGGUGGUUGAGAUCUUAUGGUAUAGUAUUACUAGUGUUUUGUUGAAGUCAUUACUCCUGAAUUUGUGAGUGUAUGAGGUUAGUGCAAGACCUUGAUAGUGUCUUUGCUGAAGUAACACUAGUAUUUGAGAGUUUUAUGAGAAAUUGAGUCAUUUUGAGUGAGGUGAUGUGAGGGAGAUGUUUGAAAGCCAUAGAAUUACAUGACAUAGUAUUUCCCACCAUUGAGACGUGAUUUGGACUCAAAGUAUGCAAAAAGUUGCAAAACAGCGA